RNAcentral lists this ribosomal RNA (468 nucleotides) under uncultured bacterium. RNAcentral's name for it is "partial 16S ribosomal RNA". It matches the Rfam family "Bacterial small subunit ribosomal RNA", at positions 28 to 507 of the family's 1533-position model. The record is from RNAcentral.
GACGAACGCUGGCGGCGUGCUUAACACAUGCAAGUCGAACGGAAAGGCCCUGCUUUGGUGGGGUGCUCGAGUGGCGAACGGGUGAGUAACACGUGAGUAACCUGCCCUUGACUUUGGGAUAACUUCAGGAAACUGGGGCUAAUACCGGAUAGGAGCUCCUGCUGCAUGGUGGGGGUUGGAAAGUUUCGGCGGUUGGGGAUGGACUCGCGGCUUAUCAGCUUGUUGGUGGGGUAGUGGAUUACCAAGGCUUUGACGGGUAGCCGGCCUGAGAGGGUGACCGGCCACAUUGGGACUGAGCUACGGCCCAGACUACUACGGGAGGCAGCAGUGGGGAAUAUUGCACAAUGGGCGGAAGCCUGAUGCAGCAAAGCCGCGUGCGGGAUGACGGCAUUCGGGUUGUAAACCGCUUUCGCCUGUGACGAAGCGUGAGUGACGGUAAUGGGUAAAGAAGCACCGGCUAACUACGUG